RNAcentral lists this ribosomal RNA (595 nucleotides) under uncultured bacterium. RNAcentral's name for it is "bacterial SSU rRNA". It matches the Rfam family "Bacterial small subunit ribosomal RNA", at positions 804 to 1503 of the family's 1533-position model. The record is from RNAcentral.
UAACGAUGUCGACUUGGAGGUUGUGGCUUCCGGAGCUAACGCGUUAAGUCGACCGCUGGGGAGUACGGCCGCAAGGUUAAACUCAAAUGAAUUGACGGGGGCCCGCACAAGCGGUGGGCAGUGGUUUAAUUCGAUGCAACGCGAAGAACUUACCUGGUCUUGACAUCCAGGUGCUGCAUGGCUGUCGUCAGCUCGUGUUGUGAAAUGUUGGGUUAAGUCCCGCAACGAGCGCAACCCUUAUCCUUUGUUGCAACUCAAAGGAGACUGCCAGUGAUAAACUGGAGGAAGGUGGGGAUGACGUCAAGUCAUCAUGGCCCUUACGACCAGGGCUACACACGUGCUACAAUGGCGCAUACAAAGAGAAGCGACCUCGCGAGAGCAAGCGGACCUCAUAAAGUGCGUCGUAGUCCGGAUUGGAGUCUGCAACUCGACUCCAUGAAGUCGGAAUCGCUAGUAAUCGUGGAUCAGAUGCCACGGUGAAUACGUUCCCGGGCCUUGUACACACCGCCCGUCACACCAUGGGAGUGGGUUGCAAAAGAAGUAGGUUACCACUUUGUGAUUCAUGACUGGGGUGAAGUCGUAACAAGUAACGAAG